This 216-nucleotide ribosomal RNA is filed under the name Clostridioides difficile. Its description in RNAcentral is "partial 23S ribosomal RNA". It matches the Rfam family "Bacterial large subunit ribosomal RNA", at positions 786 to 1002 of the family's 2925-position model. Lineage: Bacteria; Bacillati; Bacillota; Clostridia; Peptostreptococcales; Peptostreptococcaceae. The record is from RNAcentral.
GCGUUGAAAAGCUCGGGGAUGACUUGUGGGUAGCGGUGAAAUUCCAAUCGAGCCCGGAGAUAGCUGGUUCUCCCCGAAAUAGCUUUAGUGCUAGCCUCAAGGUGAGAGAUACGGAGGUAGAGCACUGAAUGUCCUAGGGGGUAUUGCACCUACCGAAGACUAUCAAACUCCGAAUGCCGUCAUCUUAUACUUGGGAGUCAGACUGUGGGUGAUAAG